AAGAAAUGGCUGCCGCGCUCUGGG
RNAcentral lists this non-coding RNA (24 nucleotides) under Rattus norvegicus (Norway rat). The record is from RNAcentral. Lineage: Eukaryota; Metazoa; Chordata; Mammalia; Rodentia; Muridae.